ACAGAAAGUAGCUUGCUACUUUGCUGACGAGCGGCGGACGGGUGAGUAAUGCUUGGGAACAUGCCUUGAGGUGGGGGACAACAGUUGGAAACGACUGCUAAUACCGCAUAAUGUCUACGGACCAAAGGGGGCUUCGGCUCUCGCCUUUAGAUUGGCCCAAGUGGGAUUAGCUAGUUGGUGAGGUAAUGGCUCACCAAGGCAACGAUCCCUAGCUGGUUUGAGAGGAUGAUCAGCCACACUGGAACUGAGACACGGUCCAGACUCCUACGGGAGGCAGCAGUGGGGAAUAUUGCACAAUGGGCGAAAGCCUGAUGCAGCCAUGCCGCGUGUGUGAAGAAGGCCUUCGGGUUGUAAAGCACUUUCAGUCAGGAGGAAAGGGUGUGAGUUAAUACCUCAUAUCUGUGACGUUACUGACAGAAGAAGCACCGGCUAACUCCGUGCCAGCAGCCGCGGUAAUACGGAGGGUGCGAGCGUUAAUCGGAAUUACUGGGCGUAAAGCGUACGCAGGCGGUUUGUUAAGCGAGAUGUGAAAGCCCCGGGCUCAACCUGGGAACUGCAUUUCGAACUGGCAAACUAGAGUGUGAUAGAGGGUGGUAGAAUUUCAGGUGUAGCGGUGAAAUGCGUAGAGAUCUGAAGGAAUACCGAUGGCGAAGGCAGCCACCUGGGUCAACACUGACGCUCAUGUACGAAAGCGUGGGGAG
Molecule: ribosomal RNA, 701 nt
Filed under: uncultured bacterium
Lineage: Bacteria
Description: bacterial SSU rRNA
Rfam family: Bacterial small subunit ribosomal RNA
Source: RNAcentral